CUCCUCCCCCUCCCUCCCCAGCUAUUCGCGCCGCUGCUCUGCGCUCGGCGCGUCCCGCUCGCGGCGUUUCUCGGAUGGAAUAGACCGAGGGUUUCCUGGCCGCGCCCCCUCCUCCUCCUCUCCCCCACGCUCGAUUUGUGUCGGAUUUUCGCGUGCUUCACUGAUUUGGCCGUAUGAUUUCUGGGUGUUUGCUCCGACGGGAUCCGCCGAGACAAUGACUUCAAGCAGAUCGUGACGACGCUGCGCCACAUCAAGGACAAGGCUCACAAGGACGGCCAGAAGAAGACCGAGCAGGCCAUCUCCAGGGUUCAGUGGCUACGAGUACCUGGAGUCCUGAACCUGCUGCCUGCCCUGAAUCCAAACCUUCUGCAUGCCCUGUAUCUGAACCUGCUGUAGGCCCUGUAUCCGAGCCUGAUGUAUGCACUGUAUCUGAACCUGCUGUAUGCACUGUAUCUGAAUUUAGGCUUCAGGAGUCUGUAAUUGGAUGUGAACUAGGAAUUACCAGUGUCAUGUUGUUUGUGAACGAUCAGGUGAUGAUUGAAGUAGUAGGUACCAAUGCAAUGACAGGGCUUAGAAGUGUUGCGUGCACCUUUUGGUUUAGCAUGAUUUAUCCACCUUGUUCAGAGUGAACCAUAGCUAGUUUUUUUUUAUCGAAUAUAUGCAUCGCAUCCACCUCCCCAUUUUGUCCAUGUCUCACUCUCAAAAUAGCCUGCAAAGACUUGGGGGUUAUAUUAUUAUUUCUGUUUACUGCAUUGCAUUUAGAUAUUGGAAGUCUAUGUUCGCAUCACCAAAGUAGCAGGACAGCACCCCGUUGUUGUCAGGUUGUUUGUGACUGCUUAGGUCUCGUAUGUAAUUUCUCGCCAGUAGAUCCUAAACUAGCAAGGCGACAUUUUAGGCACAUUGCAAUGUUGUGGCAGUUGAUCAUAAACUUAUGGGAGAUUUGUUCCCUUCAAUGGUAUGAUUUUGCAGUUAUGAGUGUUAUCAGUGCUUCUAGCCUGCUGUAUGCCUGUACCUGAAUUUAGGUUCCAGAAGUCUGUAAUUGGAUGAGAACUAGGAUUUACGAGUGUUAUAUUGUUUGUGAAAGUUCGAGUGACCAUAUGAUGAUUGGAGUAGUGGGUAUGGUAGAUGCAACGAUAGGACUUGAAAGUGCUGCGUGCACCGGUUGGUUUAAGACGAUUUAUCCACCUUCUUUGUGGAACUAUAGCUAGUUAUUUUGAUAGAAUAUAUGUAUUCCGCCUUCCCAUUUUGUUCUUGGCUCACUCUCACAAUGGCCUGCAAAGACUUGGGAGUUAUGUAAGGGUUUCUGUUUACUGUAUUGCAUUUAUAUAUUGGAAAUCUAUGUUUGCAUCACCGAAGUAGCAGGAUCGCGUACCAUGGUUGUCAGGUUGUUUUUGACUGCUUAGGUCUCGUAUGUAAUUUCGCACCAGUAGAUCAUAAAGUUGUAAGAGAAAUUUUAGGCACUUUGCAAUGUUGUGGCAGUUGAUCAUAAACUUAUGGGAUAUUUGUUCCCUUCAAUGGUAGAAUUUUGGAGUUAUGAGCGUUAUCGGUGCUUUUAGCCUGCUGUAUGCCUGUAUCUGAAUUUAGGUUUCAGAAGUCUGUAAUCGGAUGAGAACUAGAAUAUGAGUGCCAUGUUGUUUCUGUAUGUUCGGGUGCCCAUCUGAUGAUUGGAGUAAGUGGGCAUGUACUGAUGCAAUGAUAGGACCUGGAAGCGUUGUGUGCACCUAUUGGUUUGAACACGAUUUAUCCGCCUUCUUUGUGGAACGAUAACUAGUUUUGUUGAUCGAAUAUAUGCAUCCACCUUCCUAUUUUUCUCCUGACUCAUUCUCAGAAUAGCCUGCAAGGACUUUCGGAGUCAUGUUACUGUUUCUACCUGCUGUGUUGCAUUUAGACACUGGAAAUCUGUGUUCGCAUCUCCAAAUUAGCAGGGCAGCAUACCAUGGUUUUCCUGAUUGGUCAUGACUGCUUAGGUCUUGCAUGUAGUGCUGCGCCAGUAGAUCAUAAACUUAUAAGAGACAUUUUAGGCACUUUGUAAUGCUGUGGCAGUUGAUCAUAAACUUAUAAGGAAGCAUAGCAUACAUGAUCACCGGUAUGAAGGAUAGAUUCAUAUGAUAAAUUGAUGACCUCUCAGUGUGUAUAUUCAGUGGCUCAAAAUUUGAGCCUUUCCUGUCUGACAAAGGUCCCAAGUUAUGUCUAUUGCACACAUUUCAGCUGCUGGUAGAAUUUAAAUAGAUUCUUUUAACUUUCAGCGUUACAACAGAGAUUCAAUCUAUGGUACAGGACACCAAGACAGUUUGAGAAGGAAAGAUUUUUUUCUCAAAGUUUGAAGUUGAAAAGGAGAAGCUGAUAGUUCAGUAUGAGCUGCAAAGUAAGUAGAUGGUUACACUACUUAUGUACUCCCCUGUUCGGCUGUUCCUAAAUAUAAGACGUUUGGCAGUUCGAUUUAAACUGCCAAAACGUCUUAUAUUUAGAAACGGAGGUAGUAGGAAAGAUGUUUGCUGUAGUAGCUUGUCUUUUGAACAGUUCUUAUGUGUGGAAGAUUCUUUGCUCUUGCACAAAUACUAUCACUUAAACAGGGUAGAAGGAAGAGACUAGUAUUUCUGAUGUUGAGAAAAGAGUUACAGAGAAGCUAGCAGAUGCAGAAGAAUCUCUGAAGAAGUUGAAUCAGGGUAGGGUGACAGAUCCAUCAUCAAGCUUCGCAAGUCCUUUGCCUCGUUCCUGGGCCCCCGAUGACGAGGAGGACUGAUACGGCUCUUGCCAGAUGGUCCGUGUUUCAGAUCAAAGUGGAUAGUGGUAUAUGGUUGUGAAGAAGAGAGAUGAUACACAUGCACAGCACAGGGGAAAGAGAGAGUAGAUUCUGUAGGAUUUCUACAGCUUCUUCACCCGCAGUACGGUUUCGGUAUUCCGGUCAUGAUCAAACCUCACUUUUCCUGCUCUUACUUAUAUUCAGCAUCCAUUGCUGAACUUCUGGCCGACCUCUGCUGAAGUUUUCCAACAUGUAAAUUCUCUAGCAGCCUUCCCCAUAUGUCUGGACUCUGGACCAACAACAUUCAGUAACAAACAUAUAGUGCUACAUAUACAUAUACUGUAUCAAGCAAUUAUUAUAUAAUCUUGGCAUGGAUGUAUGUUUCCAAGGAAAAAUAGAAAAGUUUACAUCUAUUGCAAGGUUUAUCA
Aegilops tauschii subsp. strangulata is the source of this 3171-nucleotide non-coding RNA. Lineage: Eukaryota; Viridiplantae; Streptophyta; Magnoliopsida; Poales; Poaceae. The record is from RefSeq and is a predicted model, not a curated record.